ACUUUCAGCAGUGAGGAAGGUGGAUAUGUUAAUAGCAUAUUCAUUUGACGUUAGCUGCAGAAGAAGCACCGGCUAACUCCGUGCCAGCAGCCGCGGUAAUACGGAGGGUGCGAGCGUUAAUCGGAAUUACUGGGCGUAAAGCGCAUGCAGGUGGUUUGUUAAGUUCAGAUGUGAAAGCCCGGGGCGUCAACCUCGGAAUUGCAUUUGUAAACUGGCAAACUAGAGUACUGUAGAGGGGGUAGGAAUUUCAGGUGUAGCGGUGAAAUAGCGUAGAGAUCUGAAGGAAUACCGGUGGCGAAGGCGGCCCCCUCGGACAGAUACUGACACUCAGAUGCGAAAGCGUGGGGAGGCAAACAGGAUUAGAUACCCUCGGUAG
RNAcentral lists this ribosomal RNA (376 nucleotides) under uncultured bacterium. RNAcentral describes it as "bacterial SSU rRNA". It matches the Rfam family "Bacterial small subunit ribosomal RNA", at positions 432 to 793 of the family's 1533-position model. The record is from RNAcentral.